GAAGGGAUAAAAAGUUGAAAAGUAGAGUUUUCGUGUGAAUUUUGCUGAUCUGAGGCGAAGCUGAGGUCA
Molecule: long non-coding RNA, 69 nt
Organism: Bradysia coprophila
Lineage: Eukaryota; Metazoa; Arthropoda; Insecta; Diptera; Sciaridae
Source: RefSeq, a predicted model, not a curated record